AGUGAACGCUGGCGGUAGGCCUAACACAUGCAAGUCGAACGGCAGCACAGUAAGAGCUUGCUCUUACGGGUGGCGAGUGGCGGACGGGUGAGGAAUACAUCGGAAUCUACUUUUUCGUGGGGGAUAACGUAGGGAAACUUACGCUAAUACCGCAUACGACCUACGGGUGAAAGCAGGGGAUCUUCGGACCUUGCGCGAUUGAAUGAGCCGAUGUCGGAUUAGCUAGUUGGCGGGGUAAAGGCCCACCAAGGCGACGAUCCGUAGCUGGUCUGAGAGGAUGAUCAGCCACCCUGGAACUGAGACACGGUCCAGACUCCUACGGGAGGCAGCAGUGGGGAAUAUUGGACAAUGGGCGCAAGCCUGAUCCAGCCAUACCGCGUGGGUGAAGAAGGCCUUCGGGUUGUAAAGACCUUUUGUUGGGAAAGAAAAGCAGCAGGUUAAUACCCCGCUGUUCUGACGGUACCCAAAGAAUAAGCACCGGCUAACUUCGUG
This 492-nucleotide ribosomal RNA is filed under the name uncultured bacterium. Its description in RNAcentral is "partial 16S ribosomal RNA". It matches the Rfam family "Bacterial small subunit ribosomal RNA", at positions 29 to 507 of the family's 1533-position model. The record is from RNAcentral.